This is a non-coding RNA of Branchiostoma floridae (Florida lancelet), 46 nucleotides long. NCBI's taxonomy places the organism in Eukaryota, Metazoa, Chordata, Leptocardii, Amphioxiformes, Branchiostomatidae. The record is from Rfam.
ACCCCGGCCCUUUUCAGGGCCACCCACUUCCUCCAGAGAGAGCUAU